UCAAAAUUAAUUGUCUUUAAGUACGACCGAAAUAUGACAACCUACUUGCAUAUUUUUCUUCAAAACAGUACAUACCAUAACACAAAGCUUCAAUAAGGCGUCUUCCUCGCUCGCAGAUUUCACUUGAAAUUGGAAAAAAAUUAUAUAACGAAUUUCAUGUUCAUAUCAACAAUGACGAACGUUGCAGUUAACACUCGGUUGUUCAUGUAUUGUUCAUUUCUUAAGCUCUAGAUCUUGUAUUCUCAUUGCCACAGUUUCUUCAAAAAUCAAAACAGCUUUGAACUUGUUUGAUUUUGUUUGAGGCAGUUGUUGAAAUUUUGUUUGGCUCAAAAUUGAAAAACAACUAAACAUGAUUACGUGAUUGAUAUGUUUGUAAUAUUUCGCCCAAUUGCAACGAGGAAUGAUGACGUGUGCACACGCGUUUAUCCAAUCAGAUUAAAGAAAUAUAGCGAUAGCACACGUCAGCAAAUUGGAAUUUGGAUUUUGGAAAUCGGAACUUUUUUAAAAAAAAUAAAACAGCG
This is a non-coding RNA of Paramuricea clavata, 521 nucleotides long. The record is from the annotation of a GenBank genome assembly. Lineage: Eukaryota; Metazoa; Cnidaria; Anthozoa; Malacalcyonacea; Plexauridae.